GAUGAACGCUGGCGGCGUGCUUAACACAUGCAAGUCGAACGAGAAGUGGAGACGGAAACCUUCGGGCGGAAGACUUUAUUUCGAGUGGCGGACAGGUGAGUAACGCGUGGGUAACCUGCCUCAUACAGGGGGAUAACAGUUGGAAACGACUGUUAAUACCGCAUAAGACCACAGCACCGCAUGGUGCGGGGGUAAAAACUCCGGUGGUAUGAGAUGGACCCGCGUUCGAUUAGCCAGUUGGCGGGGUAACGGCCCACCAAAGCGACGAUCGAUAGCCGAUCUGAGAGGAUGACCGGCCACAUUGGGACUGAGACACGGCCCAAACUCCUACGGGAGGCAGCAGUGGGGAAUAUUGCACAAUGGGGGAAACCCUGAUGCAGCGACGCCGCGUGAGUGAAGAAGUAUUUCGGUAUGUAAAGCUCUAUCAGCAGGGAAGAAAAUGACGGUACCUGAGUAAGAAGCCCCGGCUAACUACGUG
This 478-nucleotide ribosomal RNA is filed under the name uncultured bacterium. Its description in RNAcentral is "partial 16S ribosomal RNA". It matches the Rfam family "Bacterial small subunit ribosomal RNA", at positions 28 to 507 of the family's 1533-position model. The record is from RNAcentral.